This 547-nucleotide ribosomal RNA is filed under the name Pedesta blanchardii. RNAcentral's name for it is "partial 16S ribosomal RNA". The stretch from base 420 to 547 matches the Rfam family "Bacterial large subunit ribosomal RNA", at positions 2473 to 2600 of the family's 2925-position model. The record is from RNAcentral. Lineage: Eukaryota; Metazoa; Arthropoda; Insecta; Lepidoptera; Hesperiidae.
GUUUUUUUGAAAAUAAUUUAAAGUCAAAUCUGCCCACUGAUUUUAUUAAAGGGCUGCAGUAAAUUGACUGUACAAAGGUAGCAUAAUAAAUAGUCUUUUAAUUGAAGACUUGUAUGAAAGAUUUAAUGAGAUAUAAUCUGUCUCUUUUUUAUAAUUUGAAUUUAAUUUUUUAGUAAAAAAGCUAAAAUUUAUUUAAAAGACGAGAAGACCCUAUAGAGUUUUAUAUUUAAUUUAAAUUAUAAUUUUUUAUUAAUAUUAAAUAAAAAUUAAAUUAAAUAUUUUAUUGGGGUGAUAAAAAAAUAAAAUUAACUUUUUUUAUACUAGUAUAUAUAUAUAUAUUAGUAUAUAUAUAUAUAUAUAACAUGAAUUAAUGAAAGAAUGAUCCAUAAUUUAUGAUUAUAAGAAAAAAUUACCUUAGGGAUAACAGCGUAAUUUUUUUUUUUAGUUCAAAUAAAAAAAAAAGUUUGCGACCUCGAUGUUGGAUUAAGAUAAAAUUUAAAUGCAGAAGUUUAAAAUUUUUGAUCUGUUCGAUCAUUAAAAUCUUACA